RNAcentral lists this ribosomal RNA (301 nucleotides) under uncultured bacterium. RNAcentral describes it as "partial 16S ribosomal RNA". It matches the Rfam family "Bacterial small subunit ribosomal RNA", at positions 509 to 807 of the family's 1533-position model. The record is from RNAcentral.
CAGUAGCCGCGGUAAAACGUAGGGUGCAAGCGUUAAUCGGAAUUACUGGGCGUAAAGCGUGCGCAGGCGGUUAUAUAAGACAGAUGUGAAAUCCCCGGGCUCAACCUGGGAACUGCAUUUGUGACUGUAUAGCUAGAGUACGACAGAGGGGGAUGGAAUUCCGCGUGUAGCAGUGAAAUGCGUAGAUAUGCGGAGGAACACCGAUGGCGAAGGCAAUCCCCUGGGCCUGUACUGACGCUCAUGCACGAAAGCGUGGGGAGCAAACAGGAUUAGAUACCCCUGUAGUCCCUGUCUCUUAUAC